UGCAAGUCGAACGGAAUCUUUCGGGAUUUAGUGGCGGACGGGUGAGUAACGCGUGAGAAUCUGCCUUCAGGUUCGGGACAACAGCUGGAAACGGCUGCUAAUACCGGAUGUGCCGAGAGGUGAAAGCUUUAGUGCCUGGAGAUGAGCUCGCGUCUGAUUAGCUAGUAGGAGUGGUAACGGCACCCCUAGGCGACGAUCAGUAGCUGGUCUGAGAGGAUGAUCAGCCACACUGGGACUGAGACACGGCCCAGACUCCUACGGGAGGCAGCAGUGGGGAAUUUUCCGCAAUGGGCGCAAGCCUGACGGAGCAAGACCGCGUGAGGGAAGAAGGUCUGUGGAUUGUAAACCUCUUUUGACAGGGAAGAAGACAGUGACGGUACCUGUCGAAUCAGCCUCGGCUAACUCCGUGCCAGCAGCCGCGGUAAUACGUAGGGGGCGAGCGUUGUCCGAAGUUACUGGGCGUAAAGCGCGCGUAGGCGGCCAUUUAAGUUCGGGGUGAAAGGUUCAACGCUCAACGUGAACAGUGCCUUGAAUACUGGGUGGCUUGAGUUCGGGAGAGGGCAGUGGAAUUCCUGGUGUAGCGGUGAAAUGCGUAGAUAUCAGGAGGAACACCGAUGGCGAAGGCAGCUGCCUGGCCUAGAACUGACGCUGAGGUGCGAAAGCGUGGGGAGCGAACAGGAUUAGAUACCCUGGUAGUCCACGCCGUAAACGAUGAGUGCUAGGUGUUCGGGGUAUCGACCCCCCGGGUGCCGCCGCUAACGCAGUAAGCACUCC
RNAcentral lists this ribosomal RNA (774 nucleotides) under uncultured cyanobacterium. Its description in RNAcentral is "bacterial SSU rRNA". It matches the Rfam family "Bacterial small subunit ribosomal RNA", at positions 56 to 870 of the family's 1533-position model. Lineage: Bacteria; Bacillati; Cyanobacteriota. The record is from RNAcentral.